GACGAACGCUGGCGGCGUGCUUAACACAUGCAAGUCGAACGGAAAGGCCCUGCUUUUGUGGGGUGCUCGAGUGGCGAACGGGUGAGUAACACGUGAGUAACCUGCCCUUGACUUUGGGAUAACUUCAGGAAACUGGGGCUAAUACCGGAUAGGAGCUCCUGCUGCAUGGUGGGGGUUGGAAAGUUUCGGCGGUUGGGGAUGGACUCGCGGCUCAUCAGCUUGUUGGUGGGGUAGUGGUAUACACAGGCUUUGACGGGUAGCCGGACUGAGAGGGUGACCGGCCACAUUGGGACUGAGAUACGGCCCAGACUCCUACGGGAGGCAGCAGUGGGGAAUAUUGCACAAUGGGCGGAAGCCGGAUGCAGCAACGCCGCGUGCGGGAUGACGGCCGUCGGGUUGUAAACCGCUUUCGCCUGUGACGAAGCGUGAGUGACGGUAAUGUGUAAAGAAGCACCGGCUAACUACGUG
Molecule: ribosomal RNA, 468 nt
Filed under: uncultured bacterium
Lineage: Bacteria
Description: partial 16S ribosomal RNA
Rfam family: Bacterial small subunit ribosomal RNA
Source: RNAcentral